UCCCGAGGGCUGCGGGUACAGACUGCUGCCCUGCCUUAGCCCACAAUUCCUUUUUAUAGUCAGAGCAAAGCACCUCAGUGCAAUGAAGGGUUCAUGGAGAGGUCAAACUUGUUUACCUCGACCACCUGCUCUGUAUGAUCCUUUUCCCAGGUUCACUACCUUUUGUAGGUGUGAGGAUCAUAGUGAACCUGGGAAAACAUCCUGCCUAUCCCUGUCUCCUGGUGAAGGCCAGGACGAAAGCAUGUUUUUCACUGAGAACUCAAUAGCAAAGCGGCCUGACACACAAGCAGCUCUCCAUAACUGGGCUUCCAGAGCCUCUGAAGCCCAGUCUGCAGUGAUGUACUUCCUCCAGCAAGGCCACACCUCCUAACCCUUUCAACUAGCGCCACUCCCCCGUGACCCAGUAUUCAAAUCUCUGAUUCUAUGGGAGUCACCGACUGCUAAGACUCCUUGGUCAAGGUCGUGGUGGUUGGGCAUUGCCGACUAAGUCCACACCACCUUCACCCAGAGGACUGUGCCAAGCCUUCUGGUAAACUGUGGCAUGAAGGCCACUGGGCUACCCAGAACAUCAUCCUGCAUCCACUGGCAUGCCAGGGCGGUGAGCAAGGUCGUCCCAGAGCUGAAGAAGACACUCACUGGCAUCCUUCAUGUUCCUGCCCUCAACGUGUGGACCUGCCCUUCCCCAGAAAACGCUGCCAAGUAUGCUGAUAUUAAGAAAGUGAUGAAGCUGGGCAUGGUGGUCCAUGCCUGUAACCCAGCACUCUGGAGGCAGAGGCAGGAGGAUCUUUGUGAGUUCAAGGCCAGCCUGGUCUACAAAGCGAGUCCAGGACAGUCAAGGCUAUAGAGAGAGGCCCUGUCUCAAAAAAAAAGUGAUGAAAGGGGCAUCCUGGGUAAACUGAGAUCAGAUUGUCUCCAGAGACUUUAACAACACCUGCUCUUUCACCAUUGCUCUCAAGGGUGACCUUGUCAAUCUCAUUUCCUGGCAUGAGGAUGAAUUUGACUACAGCAACAGGGCAAUGGGUGGACCUGAAGGAACAUCAACAGGCUCGGUGUCAAGGGGCUCAUGCAAACCGUCAUUGCUGCUCUGACUGGAGAAGGUAAUAAUUUUUAUGCUUAGAAGACUGUACAACACCAAUUAUGAUCAGACAGUUAUGCUGCUCCGGAUCGAGGAAUGAGCCAGUUCUCACCAAACUCAAGCAGCUGCAACACCAAGGAUGACAGAAGCCAAGGGGCUCACCACAGGGUCUGCUACAGAAAGGGUCAUCAGCCCAUGACGCACAGGUCAAGCCAGCUCAUUCGUGUGAAGGGUGCUUUGUUUUUACCAAGUGGAAAAGCAAUGUAUUUGUGUGAACCUCAAAUGCCCAUAUCCACGAAUAAGUAAAUAAUUGGACUAA
Long non-coding RNA from Meriones unguiculatus (Mongolian gerbil), 1394 nucleotides. RefSeq lists it as uncharacterized. The record is from RefSeq and is a predicted model, not a curated record. The transcript has 2 exons. Lineage: Eukaryota; Metazoa; Chordata; Mammalia; Rodentia; Muridae.